This is a long non-coding RNA of Stylophora pistillata, 755 nucleotides long. RefSeq lists it as uncharacterized. The record is from RefSeq and is a predicted model, not a curated record. Lineage: Eukaryota; Metazoa; Cnidaria; Anthozoa; Scleractinia; Pocilloporidae.
UGGACUGUCUUGUUGUACUAAAUGGAUCUUGAACUGUGUACAAGAGGUGGGUGAUUAACAGCUGACCUGUAACGGAGUUGGCCUCACCUACAUAGUCUCUUCCUCAGUCUUGAUCUGGGAUGCUAAGACUUGGUCCCCAAACAACAGAGAGAAGUGUCUGAAAACUGUCUUGCUGGGCUGAAUGGAUCUUGAACUGUUUAGAAGAGACAGGUCACUUAACAGUUGAUCUGGAGUGGAGACACAUUCACCUAACAAAUCUCUUUCUGAGAUGCAAAGAUUUGGUCCACGAAAAAAGAUUAAGGAAGCACUCGCACUUCAAAGCAAGACGUCUGGUCAUGAAAAUCUAGCCUCGUCGCGUACUCCAACCAGGAAAUUUUAAAUAGCUCAUCUCGUCAUGAAAUUCAAGCAAGAGGGUUGGACCUAAAGGACAUCUGAGAGGAAGGUGAAAAUCAGGAAGCGAAGACGAAGUCUAAGAAGUGAAGUAGCCUUGAUGACGGUUUGCUUGCAAGUUUUCAAAUGAAUAUCGGGAGAAAAUUGGAGUACACUGUAUCUCUGUGGACGGAACGACCCCUAAUUUUAGUUUUAAUUUUCCAGUACACUAUUACAAUACAAUCUUUUAAUAUACAUGUCGAUUACAAUCUUCCCCUCACUAUCUCUCGUUGCCAUGUUGCCACCAGUAACGUAGCUCCAUUUUCUGCCUUUAAAAGCACACACAACCCACAAUUCCUCUAUUCGCUCCGACGAAGGGCUAACGC